This is an RNA transcript of Orcinus orca (killer whale), 807 nucleotides long. It is a transcript of the gene named SIVA1 apoptosis inducing factor, with no coding region annotated. Lineage: Eukaryota; Metazoa; Chordata; Mammalia; Artiodactyla; Delphinidae. The transcript has 5 exons. The record is from RefSeq and is a predicted model, not a curated record.
CACGGGCAGGCGAGGCGCGGCCGCGGAGCUGCGCCGCUGCGGGCCGCGGCCAUGCCCAAGCGGGGCUGCCCCUUCGCGGACGCGGCCCCGCUGCAGCUCAAGGUGCGUGUGGGCCGGAGGGAGCUGAGUCGCGGCGUGUGCGCCGAGCGCCUCACGCGGGAGAUCUUCGAAAAGACCACGCAGCUCCUCUUCCGCGGGGCCCAGGCCUGCAUGGACCCCGCGUGGGAGGAAGCCUGCGCCAUCGUCCAUACCCCGGAGUCCCCGAAGCCUGGCCCCACAGAAGCCCCUCGGGCCGCACGCGGGCAGAUGCUGAUCGGGCCCGACGGCCGACUGACCAGGAGUCGAGCCCAGGCCUCCGAAGCUGACCCAGCCAUGGCGGCAUCGGGAGCCUGCUCGUCGUGCGUGCGGGCUGUGGACGGGAAGGCGGCGUGCGGCCAGUGCGAGCGGGCCCUGUGCGGGCGCUGCGUGCGCACCUGCUGCGGCUGUGGGGCAGUGGCCUGUGCCCUGUGUGCCCUCGUGGACUGAGACGGGCAGGGCCUUGCCAGUGGCUUUUCCCUGGAGGGGGAGCUGAGCACAGCACAAGGGCCAGCUGAGGGGCCAGCUGCAGUGACCUCCACGAGAAAGUGCUGUGCGCCAGCUGCGCCAUGUUCGAGGCCUGAGGCCAGGAGAGGACGGCAGCCCUGCCUGGACGACCUCACCGCCGUCCACGCUGAGGGACUGGGGGGAGGGGCGGGAAGGGACAGCCUUUCUAUUUUGUAUUUUGUUCUCCUGACCACAGAAGAGAAUAAACCCUUUAUAUUUGGACAA